AUUGAACGCUGGCGGCAGGCCUAACACAUGCAAGUCGAGCGAGCGGUGGACGGGUGAGUAAUGUCUGGGAAACUGCCUGAUGGAGGGGGAUAACUACUGGAAACGGUAGCUAAUACCGCAUACCAUCAGAUGUGCCCAGAUGGGAUUAGCAUGUAGGGGGGGUAACGGCUGACCUAGGAGACCAUCCCUAGCUGGUCUGAGAGGAUGACCAGCCACACUGGAACUGAGACACGGUCCAGACUCCUACGGGAGGCAGCAGUGGGGAAUAUUGCACAAUGGGCGCAAGCCUGAUGCAGCCAUGCCGCGUGUGUGAAGAAGGCUUUCGGGGUGUAAAGCACUUUCAGCGAGGAGGCGUUACCCGCAGAAGAAGCACCGGCUAACUCCGUGCCAGCAGCCGCGGUAAUUC
This 406-nucleotide ribosomal RNA is filed under the name uncultured bacterium. RNAcentral describes it as "partial 16S ribosomal RNA". It matches the Rfam family "Bacterial small subunit ribosomal RNA", at positions 30 to 526 of the family's 1533-position model. The record is from RNAcentral.